UGCUCCGGUAGUGUAGUCCGGCCAAUCAUUCCGGCCUUUCGAGCCGAAGACCCGGGUUCAAAUCCCGGCCGGAGCAU
RNAcentral lists this transfer RNA (77 nucleotides) under Methanosaeta sp. PtaU1.Bin055. RNAcentral describes it as "tRNA-Glu". It matches the Rfam family "tRNA". Rfam says of the family: Transfer RNA (tRNA) molecules are approximately 80 nucleotides in length. Their secondary structure includes four short double-helical elements and three loops (D, anti-codon, and T loops). Further hydrogen bonds mediate the characteristic L-shaped molecular structure. tRNAs have two regions of fundamental functional importance: the anti-codon, which is responsible for specific mRNA codon recognition, and the 3' end, to which the tRNAs corresponding amino acid is attached (by aminoacyl-tRNA synthetases). tRNAs cope with the degeneracy of the genetic code in two manners: having more than one tRNA (with a specific anti-codon) for a particular amino acid; and 'wobble' base-pairing, i.e. permitting non-standard base-pairing at the 3rd anti-codon position. The record is from RNAcentral. Lineage: Archaea; Methanobacteriati; Methanobacteriota; Methanomicrobia; Methanotrichales; Methanotrichaceae.